UACGUAGGUGGCAAGCGUUAUCCGGAUUUAUUGGGCGUAAAGGGAACGCAGGCGGUCUUUUAAGUCUGAUGUGAAAGCCUUCGGCUUAACCGGAGUAGUGCAUUGGAAACUGGGAGACUUGAGUGCAGAAGAGGAGAGUGGAACUCCAUGUGUAGCGGUGAAAUGCGUGGAUAUAUGGAAGAACACCAGUGGCGAAAGCGGCUCUCUGGUCUGUAACUGACGCUGAGGUUCGAAAGCGUGGGGAGCGAACAGG
Molecule: ribosomal RNA, 253 nt
Filed under: uncultured bacterium
Lineage: Bacteria
Description: partial 16S ribosomal RNA
Rfam family: Bacterial small subunit ribosomal RNA
Source: RNAcentral